CAGCCGCCGCGGUAAUACGUAGGGGGCGAGCGUUACCCGGAUUUACUGGGCGUAAAGGGGGCGUAGGCGGCCGUGAAAGUCCGGUGUGAAAACUCACGGCUCAACCGUGGGACUGCGCUGGAAACUACACGGCUUGAGGACGGUAGAGGGAGACGGAACUGCUGGUGUAGGGGUGAAAUCCGUAGAUAUCAGCAGGAACGCCGGUGGAGAAGUCGGUCUCCUGGGCCGUUCCUGACGCUGAGGCCCGAAAGCUAGGGGAGCAAACCGGAUUAGAUACCCGGGUAGUCCUAGCCGUAAACGAUGCCCACUAGGUGUGGGGAAGUAAUUCCUCCGUGCUGAAGCUAACGCGAUAAGUGGGCCGCCUGGGGAGUAUGCCCGCAAGGGUGAAACUUAAAGGAAUUGGCGGG
This 407-nucleotide ribosomal RNA is filed under the name uncultured microorganism. RNAcentral's name for it is "bacterial SSU rRNA". It matches the Rfam family "Bacterial small subunit ribosomal RNA", at positions 509 to 917 of the family's 1533-position model. The record is from RNAcentral.